GCCCGCAUUUACAAGAAAGUGAGUGGGAGCUCUGUAGCAUUUCUCAUAUUAUAUGUAGAUGACAUACUUUUGAUGGGAAAUUAUAUAGAACUUUUGGACAGCAUUAAGGCCUACUUGAAUAAGUGUUUUUCAAUGAAGGACCUUGGAGAAGCUGCUUACAUACUAGGCAUCAAGAUCUACAGGGAUAGAUCGAGACGCCUCAUAGGUCUUUCAAAAAGCACAUACCUUGAUAAGAUAUUGAAGAAGUUCAAUAUGGAUCAGUCCAAGAAAGGGUUCUUGCCUGUAUUGCAAGGUGUGAGAUUGAGCUCGGCUCAAUGCCCGACCACGAUAGAAGAUAAAGAAGAGAUGAGUGUCAUCCCCUAUGCCUCAGCCAUAGGAUCUAUUAUGUAUGCCAUGCUGUGCACCAGACCUGAUGUAAACCUUGCCGUAAGUUUGGUAGGAAGGUACCGAAGUAAUCCCGGCAAGGAACACUGGACAAUGGUCAAGAAUAUCCUGAAGUACCUGAAAAGGACAAAGGACAUGUUUCUCGUCUAUGGAGGUGACGAAGAGCUCGUC
Molecule: ribosomal RNA, 555 nt
Filed under: Triticum aestivum (bread wheat)
Lineage: Eukaryota; Viridiplantae; Streptophyta; Magnoliopsida; Poales; Poaceae
Description: partial small subunit ribosomal RNA
Source: RNAcentral